CAAUGGGAGUUGGUUCUGCCUGAAGACAGUGUGCUAACCGCAAGGAGGCAGCUGGCCACGGCAGGGUCAAUGACUGGUGCU
RNAcentral lists this ribosomal RNA (81 nucleotides) under uncultured bacterium. RNAcentral's name for it is "partial 16S ribosomal RNA". The record is from RNAcentral.